RNAcentral lists this ribosomal RNA (463 nucleotides) under uncultured Candidatus Neoehrlichia sp. Its description in RNAcentral is "bacterial SSU rRNA". It matches the Rfam family "Bacterial small subunit ribosomal RNA", at positions 32 to 524 of the family's 1533-position model. Lineage: Bacteria; Pseudomonadati; Pseudomonadota; Alphaproteobacteria; Rickettsiales; Anaplasmataceae. The record is from RNAcentral.
AACGCUGCGGCAAGCUUAACACAUGCAAGUCGAACGAAUUGUAGCUGUAGUUUACUAUGGGUACAGUUAGUGGCAGACGGGUGAGUAAUGCAUAGGAAUCUGCCUAGUAGUAUGGAAUAGCUGUUAGAAAUGACAGGUAAUACCGUAUAAUCCCUGCGGGGGAAAGAUUUAUCGCUAUUAGAUGAGCCUAUGUUAGAUUAGCUAGUUGGUAAGGUAAUGGCUUACCAAGGCUAUGAUCUAUAGCUGGUCUGAGAGGACGAUCAGCCACACUGGAACUGAGAUACGGUCCAGACUCCUACGGGAGGCAGCAGUGGGGAAUAUUGGACAAUGGGCGCAAGCCUGAUCCAGCUAUGCCGCAUGAGUGAAGAAGGCCUUAGGGUUGUAAAACUCUUUCAGCAGGGAAGAUAAUGACGGUACCUGCAGAAGAAGUCCCGGCAAACUCCGUGCCAGCAGCCGCGGUAAA